GAUGAACGCUGGCGGCGUGCCUAAUACAUGCAAGUCGAGCGAACAGACGAGGAGCUUGCUCCUCUGACGUUAGCGGCGGACGGGUGAGUAACACGUGGAUAACCUACCUAUAAGUCUGGGAUAACUUCGGGAAACCGGAGCUAAUACCGGAUAAUAUAUUGAGCCGCAUGGUUCAAUAGUGAAAGACGGUUUUGCUGUCACUUAUAGAUGGAUCCGCGCCGCAUUAGCUAGUUGGUAAGGUAACGGCUUACCAAGGCGACGAUGCGUAGCCGGCCUGAGAGGGUGAUCGGCCACACUGGAACUGAGACACGGUCCAGACUCCUACGGGAGGCAGCAGUAGGGAAUCUUCCGCAAUGGGCGAAAGCCUGACGGAGCAACGCCGCGUGAGUGAUGAAGGUCUUCGGAUCGUAAAACUCUGUUAUUAGGGAAGAACAAAUGUGUAAGUAACUAUGCACGUCUUGACGGUACCUAAUCAGAAAGCCACGGCUAACUACGUG
RNAcentral lists this ribosomal RNA (497 nucleotides) under uncultured bacterium. RNAcentral describes it as "partial 16S ribosomal RNA". It matches the Rfam family "Bacterial small subunit ribosomal RNA", at positions 28 to 507 of the family's 1533-position model. The record is from RNAcentral.